Molecule: non-coding RNA, 24 nt
Filed under: Arabidopsis thaliana (thale cress)
Lineage: Eukaryota; Viridiplantae; Streptophyta; Magnoliopsida; Brassicales; Brassicaceae
Source: RNAcentral
UUCUUUCUUUUCAUUUAUGUGUCU